GGGCAUGUAGUUCAGUGGCAGGGUGCAUGCUUUGCACGGAUGAAGUCCUAGGUUCAAUCCCUGGCAUCUCUA
Molecule: transfer RNA, 72 nt
Filed under: Lepisosteus oculatus (spotted gar)
Lineage: Eukaryota; Metazoa; Chordata; Actinopteri; Semionotiformes; Lepisosteidae
Rfam family: tRNA
About the family: Transfer RNA (tRNA) molecules are approximately 80 nucleotides in length. Their secondary structure includes four short double-helical elements and three loops (D, anti-codon, and T loops).
Source: Rfam by way of RNAcentral